Molecule: ribosomal RNA, 1537 nt
Filed under: Citrobacter koseri
Lineage: Bacteria; Pseudomonadati; Pseudomonadota; Gammaproteobacteria; Enterobacterales; Enterobacteriaceae
Description: bacterial SSU rRNA
Rfam family: Bacterial small subunit ribosomal RNA
Source: RNAcentral
UUGAAGAGUUUGAUCAUGGCUCAGAUUGAACGCUGGCGGCAGGCCUAACACAUGCAAGUCGAACGGUAACAGGAAGCAGCUUGCUGCUUCGCUGACGAGUGGCGGACGGGUGAGUAAUGUCUGGGAAACUGCCUGAUGGAGGGGGAUAACUACUGGAAACGGUAGCUAAUACCGCAUAACGUCGCAAGACCAAAGAGGGGGACCUUCGGGCCUCUUGCCAUCAGAUGUGCCCAGAUGGGAUUAGCUUGUUGGUGGGGUAACGGCUCACCAAGGCGACGAUCCCUAGCUGGUCUGAGAGGAUGACCAGCCACACUGGAACUGAGACACGGUCCAGACUCCUACGGGAGGCAGCAGUGGGGAAUAUUGCACAAUGGGCGCAAGCCUGAUGCAGCCAUGCCGCGUGUAUGAAGAAGGCCUUCGGGUUGUAAAGUACUUUCAGCGGGGAGGAAGGUGUUGUGGUUAAUAACCGCAGCAAUUGACGUUACCCGCAGAAGAAGCACCGGCUAACUCCGUGCCAGCAGCCGCGGUAAUACGGAGGGUGCAAGCGUUAAUCGGAAUUACUGGGCGUAAAGCGCACGCAGGCGGUCUGUUAAGUCAGAUGUGAAAUCCCCGGGCUCAACCUGGGAACUGCAUCUGAUACUGGCAGGCUUGAGUCUCGUAGAGGGGGUAGAAUUCCAGGUGUAGCGGUGAAAUGCGUAGAGAUCUGGAGGAAUACCGGUGGCGAAGGCGGCCCCCUGGACGAAGACUGACGCUCAGGUGCGAAAGCGUGGGGAGCAAACAGGAUUAGAUACCCUGGUAGUCCACGCCGUAAACGAUGUCGACUUGGAGGUUGUGCCCUUGAGGCGUGGCUUCCGGAGCUAACGCGUUAAGUCGACCGCCUGGGGAGUACGGCCGCAAGGUUAAAACUCAAAUGAAUUGACGGGGGCCCGCACAAGCGGUGGAGCAUGUGGUUUAAUUCGAUGCAACGCGAAGAACCUUACCUGGUCUUGACAUCCACGGAAGUUUUCAGAGAUGAGAAUGUGCCUUCGGGAACCGUGAGACAGGUGCUGCAUGGCUGUCGUCAGCUCGUGUUGUGAAAUGUUGGGUUAAGUCCCGCAACGAGCGCAACCCUUAUCCUUUGUUGCCAGCGGUUAGGCCGGGAACUCAAAGGAGACUGCCAGUGAUAAACUGGAGGAAGGUGGGGAUGACGUCAAGUCAUCAUGGCCCUUACGACCAGGGCUACACACGUGCUACAAUGGCAUAUACAAAGAGAAGCGACCUCGCAAGAGCAAGCGGACCUCAUAAAGUAUGUCGUAGUCCGGAUUGGAGUCUGCAACUCGACUCCAUGAAGUCGGAAUCGCUAGUAAUCGUGGAUCAGAAUGCCACGGUGAAUACGUUCCCGGGCCUUGUACACACCGCCCGUCACACCAUGGGAGUGGGUUGCAAAAGAAGUAGGUAGCUUAACCUUCGGGAGGGCGCUUACCACUUUGUGAUUCAUGACUGGGGUGAAGUCGUAACAAGGUAACCGUAGGGGAACCUGCGGUUGGAUCACCUCCUU